AGUCACCACCCAUUGGAGUUUUCAACUAAGCCUCAGGGCCUUUGUCUCUGCCAACAAAGAAAUGGCUGGCAAACGCCCCCACGGCUCGUGAGCUGCCUGGCUACUCUCAGCUCCCCAGUAUGAUUCUGCUAGACUGGAUGAUACUGAAAACCCGUCACCAGUUGUGCAGGCUGCUCUCCUAGAGCUCAGGAACAAGCUGAAGUCACAGGCCGUCACUUGGACUGAUGAACUGCGGAAACAAGUGGGAUCCAGCAUGCACUCAAUCAAGGUGGCUCCAUCGUCAUUAUGGCCAUCCACAACGUCACCAUCAUCAGUUUGCUGUGUAGGAAGAGACAGUCGCCUUUCAGGCAGUGAUUCUAAGCAUGAAGAGUCUGGGGAAGCACAUCGACGUGAAAGGGAACAAGCAGGAAGUGCGUUUCUCCAUGGGGCCUGGGAGUCAGUGCUGACGCCCAGCCUGAAACGCACAGUCGCUUGCAGUUGUGGUGGAGGAGGAAGCCAUGGAUGCCAUCGAUGACGUGUGGCCAGGUCUGGAAACGAGGCAUCAGAGAAGCAGAAGGACGGGGACGUGAGAUCUGAUGCUGGAGUGCUGAGAGCCAUACCUGUGUCUCCCGUUUCUGCUCCUAGAGAAUCUGAAGGCUGACAGCCCUGGAGGAUGCUGAGCCCUGGAUAGGAGUCAAGAAGGCGAGGUGCCAAGUGCGGCUCCAUCACUAGACUGAUUCGGGCAUGUCUCUUUUCAUCUAUGGAAGGCAUUUUCUUCACUUCUCAAGGAAAAGUUU
This 776-nucleotide long non-coding RNA is filed under the name Equus asinus (donkey). RNAcentral describes it as "lncRNA (ENSEASG00005031720.1)". Lineage: Eukaryota; Metazoa; Chordata; Mammalia; Perissodactyla; Equidae. The record is from RNAcentral.